Molecule: non-coding RNA, 79 nt
Filed under: Pelobacter sp.
Lineage: Bacteria; Pseudomonadati; Thermodesulfobacteriota; Desulfuromonadia; Desulfuromonadales; Desulfuromonadaceae
Also listed under: 1 other name
Description: c-di-GMP sequence
Rfam family: c-di-GMP-I riboswitch aptamer
About the family: GEMM was predicted in a large-scale screen for bacterial structured RNA regulatory elements. Genes associated with GEMM are involved in a diverse array of functions, including chemotaxis regulation, signal transduction, secretion and chitin.
Source: RNAcentral
UUCCGACAAGAGCAAAACCAGGGCAAUCUGGUGACGCAAAGCUAUGGGUUCGCACUAUGCGGAUCGCCUGGCUACCGAA